This is a long non-coding RNA of Phyllostomus discolor (pale spear-nosed bat), 636 nucleotides long. RefSeq lists it as uncharacterized. Lineage: Eukaryota; Metazoa; Chordata; Mammalia; Chiroptera; Phyllostomidae. The transcript is spliced from 2 exons. The record is from RefSeq and is a predicted model, not a curated record.
AUCCAGGAGGCCUUGGGCCUGAGUUCUCCUUAGAACAGCAAAGGCAGUGCCCACCCUCUCACCUUGCCAAUCUCUCUCCCUAAGGUGUGCUGACACCCUCAAAGACAGGGUCUGUUAGGCAUCUUAAGAGCGGAGAGGAUCCCAGCCACUUCCACCCACCUUGUCCUCCCUAAGGAGGCCUCAGCCCCAUGAGACAAGGAACCACACUGCUGCUGUCUCAACCCCAGGGUACUAGGAAGGGAGGGUGCUGACUCGGCCCCCACCCACUCAGGUGCAUGCCUGGCAGACUCUCAGUGUCUUGCAGAUUGUCGAAGGCCGCUAUCCUGGGUGGUGAUGGACCUGCCACAGGAGAACUUGGAGGAGGACACCCCGGGAGCCAGCCUAUGGCCCACCACUGUCACCCUGCUCACACUCUUCCUGCUCAGCCUCUUCUACAGUACAGCACUGACCGUGACCAGCGUCCGGGGCCCACCUGGCAGCCGAGAGGGGCCCCAGUACUGAGCAGGAGCCAACCAGGUCCAGGGAGGAGCAUGGAAGAGCCUUCUCAAGCCCAGUGGGAUCCCAAGCUCAGCACAUUUUGGAAGCCAGCCACCCAUACCCACGCAGUCAUCCUAGUACAAUAAACUCAUACAAAUG